CUCUGCUCCGCUCUCCGCUCUCUAAUUCAUAUUUCAGGAUGUUAUUAGAGCGCGCGGCGAAAUGUCAGGAUCUUUACAAGCGACGGCUUCUCCUGCCUUGAUCGGGGGGGAGCAGAAUCAGACAGCGAGGACAAGGAGACGCGGAGAGAAACGCUGCCAUUUCAGGCCUUCCAGACUGGAAUAAACCAUUUAGCUCUGUCUCCUCUGGCUGGGCUCUGUGCUGGAAAUGACUGAGCAGGAGGAAGAAGAAGAAGAAGAAGAAGAAGAA
Long non-coding RNA from Solea solea (common sole), 268 nucleotides. RefSeq lists it as uncharacterized. The record is from RefSeq and is a predicted model, not a curated record. NCBI's taxonomy places the organism in Eukaryota, Metazoa, Chordata, Actinopteri, Pleuronectiformes, Soleidae. The transcript is spliced from 3 exons.